Molecule: transfer RNA, 72 nt
Filed under: Marmota monax (woodchuck)
Lineage: Eukaryota; Metazoa; Chordata; Mammalia; Rodentia; Sciuridae
Rfam family: tRNA
About the family: Transfer RNA (tRNA) molecules are approximately 80 nucleotides in length. Their secondary structure includes four short double-helical elements and three loops (D, anti-codon, and T loops).
Source: Rfam by way of RNAcentral
UGAAGUGUAGCUCAGGGGUCGGGUGCUUGCCUAGCAUGCAUGAGACCCUGGGUUCAACCCUCAUCACUGCAA